This is a non-coding RNA of Phrynosoma platyrhinos (Desert horned lizard), 72 nucleotides long. The record is from the annotation of a GenBank genome assembly. NCBI's taxonomy places the organism in Eukaryota, Metazoa, Chordata, Lepidosauria, Squamata, Phrynosomatidae.
GCCAGUGUGGUGUAAUGGUUUGAGCAUUGAACUACAACUCUGGAGACCAGGGUUCAAGUCCCAGCUUGGCCA